GGCCGCCUCGGGCGAGUACGUGUGCCGCGUGGGCUCGGGCAGCAGCACCCGCGAGGCCACCGUCGCUGUCACCGUCUCCUCCCGUGACGGCUCCAGCUACCGCCUGCAGAGCCCCAUCAUCUCCAUCGACCCGCACAGCAUGGCCGUGGCCCAGGGCGAGGACGCCACCUUCAAGUGCCGCAUCCACGAUGGCGCCCGGCCCAUCAACAUCACCUGGCGCAUGGGGCCUGGCCAGCACUUCCAAGACAAUGUCAAGAUCAGCCCCAACGGCUCGGUGAUCUCCAUCGCCGCUGCCCACGCCGGCAACCAGGGGGC
Molecule: non-coding RNA, 315 nt
Organism: Tinamus guttatus (white-throated tinamou)
Lineage: Eukaryota; Metazoa; Chordata; Aves; Tinamiformes; Tinamidae
Source: RefSeq, a predicted model, not a curated record